AGUGAACGCUGGCGGCAGGCCUAACACAUGCAAGUCGAGCGGCAGCGCGUCCGACCACCCUCGGGUGGUCGGAUGGCGGCGAGCGGCGGACGGGUGAGGAAUGCAUCGGAAUCUGCCUCGUUGUGGGGGAUAACGUAGGGAAACUUACGCUAAUACCGCAUACGAUCUACGGGGUGAAAGUGGGGGACCUUCGGGCCUCACGCGAUGAGAUGAGCCGAUGCCGGAUUAGCUAGUUGGCGGGGUAAAGGCCACCAAGGCGACGAUCCGUAGCUGGUCUGAGAGGAUGAUCAGCCACACUGGAACUGAGACACGGUCCAGACUCCUACGGGAGGCAGCAGUGGGGAAUAUUGGGACAAUGGGGGCAACCCUGAUCCAGCCAUGCCGCGUGUGUGAAG
Molecule: ribosomal RNA, 395 nt
Filed under: uncultured bacterium
Lineage: Bacteria
Description: bacterial SSU rRNA
Rfam family: Bacterial small subunit ribosomal RNA
Source: RNAcentral